AUGAACGCUGGCGGCGUGCCUAAUACAUGCAAGUCGCGCGAACGGACGAGAAGCUUGCUUCUCUGAUGUUAGCGGCGGACGGGUGAGUAACACGUGGAUAACCUACCUAUAAGACUGGGAUAACUUCGGGAAACCGUAGCUAAUACCGGAUAAUAUUUUGAACCGCAUGGUUCAAAAGUGAAAGACGGUCUUGCUGUCACUUAUAGAUGGAUCCGCGCUGCAUUAGCUAGUUGGUAAGGUAACGGCUUACCAAGGCAACGAUGCAUAGCCGACCUGAGAGGGUGAUCGGCCACACUGGAACUGAGACACGGUCCAGGCUCCUACGGGAGGCAGCAGUAGGGAAUCUUCCGCAAUGGGCGAAAGCCUGACGGAGCAACGCCGCGUGAGUGAUGAAGGUCUUCGGAUCGUAAAACUCUGUUAUUAGGGAAGAACAUAUGUGUAAGUAACUGUGCACAUCUUGACGGUACCUAAUCAGAAAGCCACGGCUAACUACGUG
RNAcentral lists this ribosomal RNA (496 nucleotides) under uncultured bacterium. Its description in RNAcentral is "partial 16S ribosomal RNA". It matches the Rfam family "Bacterial small subunit ribosomal RNA", at positions 29 to 507 of the family's 1533-position model. The record is from RNAcentral.